UAGGGAAUCUUCCACAAUGGGCGAAAGCCUGAUGGAGCAACGCCGCGUGAGUGAAGAAGGGUUUCGGCUCGUAAAACUCUGUUGUUAAAGAAGAACAUAUCUGAGAGUAACUGUUCAGGUAUUGACGGUAUUUAACCAGAAAGCCACGGCUAACUACGUGCCAA
This 164-nucleotide ribosomal RNA is filed under the name uncultured bacterium. RNAcentral describes it as "partial 16S rRNA". It matches the Rfam family "Bacterial small subunit ribosomal RNA", at positions 355 to 511 of the family's 1533-position model. The record is from RNAcentral.